AGGUGGUGCAGAGAGGAGGUGGACAGGUAGGAGAGAGGACAGGUGGUGGAGAAGAAGAAGAGAGAGGAGAGGUGGUGGAGAGAGGAGGUGGACAGGUAGGAGAGAGGACAGGUGGCGGAGAAGAAGAGGAGAAAGGAGAGGUGGUGGAGAGAGGAGGUGGACAGGUAGGAGAGAGGACAGGUGGUGGAGAAGAAGAGGAGAGAGGAGAGGUGGUGGAGAAGAAGAGGAGAGGUGGUGGAGAGAGGAGGUGGACAAGUAGGAGAGAGGACAGGUGGUGGAGAAGAAGAGGAGAGAGGAGAGGUGGUGGAGAGAGGAGGUGGACAAGUAGGAGAGAGGACAGGUGGUGGAGAAGAAGAGGAGAGAGGACAGGUGGUGGAGAAGAAGAGGAGAGGUGGUGGAGAGAGGUGGUGGACAGGUAGGAGAGAGGACAGGUGGUGGAGAAGAAGAGGAGAGAGGAGAGGUGGUGGAGAGAGGAGGUGGACAAGUAGGAGAGAGGACAGGUGGUGGAGAAGAAGAGGAGAGAGGAGAGGUGGUGGAGAAGAAGAGGAGAGGUGGUGGAGAGAGGAGGUGGACAAGUAGGAGAGAGGACAGGUGGUGGAGAAGAAG
Salvelinus fontinalis (brook trout) is the source of this 606-nucleotide long non-coding RNA. RefSeq lists it as uncharacterized. The transcript has 6 exons. The record is from RefSeq and is a predicted model, not a curated record. NCBI's taxonomy places the organism in Eukaryota, Metazoa, Chordata, Actinopteri, Salmoniformes, Salmonidae.